RNAcentral lists this unclassified non-coding RNA (205 nucleotides) under Hevea brasiliensis (rubber tree). The record is from RNAcentral. Lineage: Eukaryota; Viridiplantae; Streptophyta; Magnoliopsida; Malpighiales; Euphorbiaceae.
CGGCGGCAAUGGCGACCGAGCUUGAAGAGUUGGUGGGAUUUCUUUCAGCUCCUUCUCUGCCAGUGCAGAAGGCUGCUGUUGAUAUCGUUCGGGACUUAACCGGGUCUGAAGAUGGGUUGCUGUCCCUUUCUAAGUAUGCCAAUAUUGUGAUUUCAUCAUUAUCUCGACUUUUAAGCCAAAAAAAGGAGGUCUCUGAGCCUGCAGC